This 84-nucleotide transfer RNA is filed under the name Dendronephthya gigantea. RNAcentral's name for it is "tRNA-Leu". It matches the Rfam family "tRNA". From Rfam's summary of the family: Transfer RNA (tRNA) molecules are approximately 80 nucleotides in length. Their secondary structure includes four short double-helical elements and three loops (D, anti-codon, and T loops). Further hydrogen bonds mediate the characteristic L-shaped molecular structure. tRNAs have two regions of fundamental functional importance: the anti-codon, which is responsible for specific mRNA codon recognition, and the 3' end, to which the tRNAs corresponding amino acid is attached (by aminoacyl-tRNA synthetases). tRNAs cope with the degeneracy of the genetic code in two manners: having more than one tRNA (with a specific anti-codon) for a particular amino acid; and 'wobble' base-pairing, i.e. permitting non-standard base-pairing at the 3rd anti-codon position. Lineage: Eukaryota; Metazoa; Cnidaria; Anthozoa; Malacalcyonacea; Nephtheidae. The record is from RNAcentral.
GUCAGGUUGGCCGAGCGGUCUAAGGCGCCAGACUUAAGUUCUGGUCCACAAGAGUGGGCGUGGGUUCAAAUCCCACACCUGACA